This 332-nucleotide ribosomal RNA is filed under the name Strongyloides fuelleborni fuelleborni. Its description in RNAcentral is "SSU rRNA". It matches the Rfam family "Eukaryotic small subunit ribosomal RNA", at positions 72 to 432 of the family's 1831-position model. The record is from RNAcentral. Lineage: Eukaryota; Metazoa; Nematoda; Chromadorea; Rhabditida; Strongyloididae. RNAcentral also lists the same sequence under 1 other name.
GUUUUAAACAUGAAACCGCGGAAAGCUCAUUAUAACAGCUAUAGACUACACGGUAAAUAUUUUAGUUGGAUAACUGAGGUAAUUCUUGAGCUAAUACACGCUAUUUAUACCACAUUAGUGGUGCGUUUAUUUGAUUAAACCAUUUUAUAUUGGUUGACUCAAAAUAUCCUCGCUGAUUUUGUUACUAAAACAUACCGUAUGUGUAUCUGGUUUAUCAACUUUCGAUGGUAGGGUAUUGGCCUACCAUGGUUGUGACGGAUAACGGAGAAUUAGGGUUCGACUCCGGAGAGGGAGCCUGAGAAACGGCUACCACAUCCAAGGAAGGCAGCAGG